GAUGAACGCUGGCGGCGUGCUUAACACAUGCAAGUCGAGCGGUAAGGCCCUUUCGGGGGUACACGAGCGGCGAACGGGUGAGUAACACGUGGGUGACCUGCCCUCAGCUCUGGGAUAAGCCUGGGAAACCGGGUCUAAUACUGGAUAUGACUCCAUGACGCAUGUUGUGGGGUGGAAAGCCUUGUGCGGCUGAGGAUGGGCCCGCGGCCUAUCAGCUUGUUGGUGGGGUGAUGGCCUACCAAGGCGACGACGGGUAGCCGGCCUGAGAGGGCGACCGGCCACACUGGGACUGAGACACGGCCCAGACUCCUACGGGAGGCAGCAGUGGGGAAUCUUGCGCAAUGGGCGAAAGCCUGACGCAGCGACGCCGCGUGAGGGAUGACGGCCU
Molecule: ribosomal RNA, 388 nt
Filed under: uncultured bacterium
Lineage: Bacteria
Description: bacterial SSU rRNA
Rfam family: Bacterial small subunit ribosomal RNA
Source: RNAcentral